GAUGAACGCUGGCGGCGCAUUUAAGACAUGCAAGUCGAACGGAAAUAUAUGAAGUGUUUACACUGAAUAUAUUUUAGUGGCGGACGGGUGAGUAACACGUAGGUAACCUGCCUCGAAGAGGGAAAUAACUAAGAGAAAUUUUAGCUAAUGUCCCAUAAGACCACACUAUGGCAUCAUAGAGUGAUCAAAGGAGUAAUCCGCUUUGAGAUGGACCUGCGGCUGAUUAGUUAGUUGGAGUGGUAAAGGCACACCAAGACAAUGAUCAGUAGCCGAGCUGAGAGGCUGGCCGGCCACAUUGGGACUGAGACACGGCCCAGACUCCUACGGGAGGCAGCAGUUGGGAAUAUUGGACAAUGGAGGAAACUCUGAUCCAGUGACGCCGCGUGAAGGAAGAAGGUCUUCGGAUUGUAAACUUAUUUUGUCAGGGAAGAAACAAAUGACAGUACCUGAAGAAGAAGGACCGCAAACUACGUGCCAGCAGCCGCGGUAAAA
Molecule: ribosomal RNA, 492 nt
Filed under: uncultured bacterium
Lineage: Bacteria
Description: bacterial SSU rRNA
Rfam family: Bacterial small subunit ribosomal RNA
Source: RNAcentral